RNAcentral lists this ribosomal RNA (598 nucleotides) under Bulbothrix isidiza. RNAcentral describes it as "partial small subunit ribosomal RNA". It matches the Rfam family "Bacterial small subunit ribosomal RNA", at positions 465 to 1064 of the family's 1533-position model. The record is from RNAcentral. Lineage: Eukaryota; Fungi; Ascomycota; Lecanoromycetes; Lecanorales; Parmeliaceae.
GAUAAUGACGUUGUCUACCUAUGUNNNUNNACCAAAUUACGUGCCAGCAGNCGCGGUACGUAGAAGACUAGUGUUAUUCAUGUUUAAUCGGUUUAAAGGGUACCUAGACGGCAGAUCAAGCUUACAAGAAAUAAAAAUAUAAAAUAAAAGGACUAAUCUGCUAGAGUUACUUCUGAUGGGGCUAUAAAGUACUACUGGUGUAGAGAUGAAAUUCUAUGAUACCUUUUUUCGAAAGAAAAGCUAUGGCACAGGUAUAGGCGAAGGCAUCCCCUUAUGUGAUAACUGACGUUGAGGGACGAAGGCUUCGAUUAACGAACAGGAUUAGAUACCCUGGUAGUUGAGGCAGUAAAUGAUGAAUGUCAUAGAUUAGAUGUAUAAGUUUAUUCUAUAAAUGAAAGUGUAAGCAUUCCACCUCGAGAGUAAUUUGGCAACAUUGGAACUGAAAUCAUUAGACCGUUUCUGAAACCAGUAGUGAAGUAUGUUGUUUAAUUUGAUAAUCCGCAAAAAACCUUACCACAAUUUGAAUAUUUAUAUUGUUAUUUCCUUAAUUUUUUUUUUCAUAUUACAUAAAAGGUUGAACAAUUAAUUAAAAAACGAC